RNAcentral lists this ribosomal RNA (503 nucleotides) under uncultured bacterium. RNAcentral describes it as "bacterial SSU rRNA". It matches the Rfam family "Bacterial small subunit ribosomal RNA", at positions 19 to 518 of the family's 1533-position model. The record is from RNAcentral.
CUGGCUCAGGAUGAACGCUAGCGACAGGCCUAACACAUGCAAGUCGAGGGGCAGCACAAGGAGCAAUCUGAGGUGGCGACCGGCGCACGGGUGAGUAACACGUAUCCAACCUGCCGCUUACUCGGGGAUAGCCUUUCGAAAGAAAGAUUAAUACCCGAUGGUAUAAAGAGUUCGCAUGUUCUCUUUAUUAAAGAAUUUCGGUAAGCGAUGGGGAUGCGUUCCAUUAGAUAGUUGGCGGGGUAACGGCCCACCAAGUCUACGAUGGAUAGGGGUUCUGAGAGGAAGGUCCCCCACAUUGGAACUGAGACACGGUCCAAACUCCUACGGGAGGCAGCAGUGAGGAAUAUUGGUCAAUGGACGAGAGUCUGAACCAGCCAAGUAGCGUGAAGGAUGACUGCCCUAUGGGUUGUAAACUUCUUUUAUAAGGGAAUAAAGUGAGGGACGUGUCCCUUUUUGUAUGUACCUUAUGAAUAAGGAUCGGCUAACUCCGUGCCAGCAGCAGC